RNAcentral lists this ribosomal RNA (247 nucleotides) under uncultured bacterium. RNAcentral's name for it is "partial 16S ribosomal RNA". It matches the Rfam family "Bacterial small subunit ribosomal RNA", at positions 15 to 264 of the family's 1533-position model. The record is from RNAcentral.
GAUCAUGGCUCAGAUUGAACGCUAGCGGGAUGCCUUACACAUGCAAGUCGAACGGCAGCACGGACUUCGGUCUGGUGGCGAGUGGCGAACGGGUGAGUAAUGUAUCGGAACGUGCCCAGUAGCGGGGGAUAACUACGCGAAAGCGUAGCUAAUACCGCAUACGCCCUACGGGGGAAAGCAGGAGAUCGCAAGACCUUGCACUAUUGGAGCGGCCGAUAUCGGAUUAGCUAGUUGGUGGGGUAACGGG